Molecule: ribosomal RNA, 253 nt
Filed under: uncultured bacterium
Lineage: Bacteria
Description: partial 16S ribosomal RNA
Rfam family: Bacterial small subunit ribosomal RNA
Source: RNAcentral
UACGUAGGUGACAAGCGUUGUCCGGAAUCACUGGGCGUAAAGGGAGCGUAGGCGGGCUUCUAAGUUAGGUGUUUAAUCCCAGGGCCCAACCCUGGUCAGGCACCUAAAACUGGGAGUCUUGAAUAGUGGAGAGGACGAUGGAAUUGGGGGUGUAGCGGUGGAAUGCGUAGAGAUCCCCAAGAACACCAGUUGCGAAGGCGGUCGUCUGGACACAUAUUGACGCUGAGGCUCGAAAGCAUGGGGAGCAAACAGG